RNAcentral lists this ribosomal RNA (813 nucleotides) under Salmonella enterica. RNAcentral's name for it is "partial 23S ribosomal RNA". It matches the Rfam family "Bacterial large subunit ribosomal RNA", at positions 1 to 856 of the family's 2925-position model. Lineage: Bacteria; Pseudomonadati; Pseudomonadota; Gammaproteobacteria; Enterobacterales; Enterobacteriaceae. The record is from RNAcentral.
GGUUAAGCGACUAAGCGUACACGGUGGAUGCCCUGGCAGUCAGAGGCGAUGAAGGGCGUGCUAAUCUGCGAUAAGCGCCGGUAAGGUGAUAUGAACCGUUAUAACCGGCGAUACCCGAAUGGGGAAACCCAGUGUGAUUCGUCACACUAUCAUUAACUGAAUCCAUAGGUUAAUGAGGCGAACCGGGGGAACUGAAACAUCUAAGUACCCCGAGGAAAAGAAAUCAACCGAGAUUCCCCCAGUAGCGGCGAGCGAACGGGGAGGAGCCCAGAGCCUGAAUCAGCAUGUGUGUUAGUGGAAGCGUCUGGAAAGGCGCGCGAUACAGGGUGACAGCCCCGUACACAAAAGCGUAUGUGCUGUGAGCUCGAUGAGUAGGGCGGGACACGUGGUAUCCUGUCUGAAUAUGGGGGGACCAUCCUCCAAGGCUAAAUACUCCUGACUGACCGAUAGUGAACCAGUACCGUGAGGGAAAGGCGAAAAGAACCCCGGCGAGGGGAGUGAAAAAGAACCUGAAACCGUGUACGUACAAGCAGUGGGAGCACCCUUUGGGGUGUGACUGCGUACCUUUUGUAUAAUGGGUCAGCGACUUAUAUUCUGUAGCAAGGUUAACCGAAUAGGGGAGCCGGAGGGAAACCGAGUCUUAAUUGGGCGUUAAGUUGCAGGGUAUAGACCCGAAACCCGGUGAUCUAGCCAUGGGCAGGUUGAAGGUUGGGUAACACUAACUGGAGGACCGAACCGACUAAUGUUGAAAAAUUAGCGGAUGACCUGUGGCUGGGGGUGAAAGGCCAAUCAAACCGGGAGAUAGCUGGUUCU